AAACGCUUGAAGUCAGUCUUGCUUGUUGGGACUCAGCCUUGCUCUUUUGCUUGGUGUAUUUCCUAACAACGGGCCAGCAUCGAUUUUAUGUGGUGCAAAAAGGCUUGAGGAAUGUGGCACCUUUUGGUGUGUUAUAGCCUCUUGUCAUAUACAUCAUGUGGGAUCGAGGAAUGCAGCAUGCCUUUUAGGCAGGUCUUCGGACACUUUCAUGCUUAGGAUGCUGGCAUAAUGGCUUUAAACGA
RNAcentral lists this ribosomal RNA (242 nucleotides) under Polyporales sp. RNAcentral's name for it is "partial large subunit ribosomal RNA". The record is from RNAcentral. Lineage: Eukaryota; Fungi; Basidiomycota; Agaricomycetes; Polyporales.